GCUUCCCGCGGCCGCCUCUGUGUGUACAAACACAAAAGACACGCCGCGCGCGCCGCAGACGGAGAGCAAGCGAGGGAGCGAAGCAGGGAAUCCCCCCUUGGCCCUCCUGGCUUCCUUCCCCUGCCAGAGGGGAGCACGAGGCCCCAGGUCAGCGCCCAACGGUCCAGCGGGAGGAGACCCCUAACCGCCAGGAUCCGGCGGCGCGAGGUCAGGGCCAACGGUCUCUCUGCGUUGCUUCGGGCAUUAGGGGAUGGCUUGGGGGCCCCUCGCUGCUCCUGGACUGAACUCUCAGCCCCGCCUCCAGCUUAGGGUGGCCCAAGCCUGUGAAACUCUGGAGGCCAGGGGUGCCAACCUGAAUGAAAUAUAGGGGGCACAAGAGGACUGACAUCAUUGCAGCACUUGCAGUGGAUUUUUAUGCAAUGCGCAGAUUACAGUUCGAGUCAACAAGUGGUGAGCAGAAAGUGAGGUGUUUGGAGUUGGUGAACUGGCCCUCAUGAAGUCCAACUUCAAUGUUUUGCUCCUCGAGUAAUUCUACAGCUUGCCUUCCUCAGAAUAUUCACAUUCAAGCUUAAACCACUAGCUCCACCAGCUUAGGUGGCUUCAGUGACUGGCAGCAUACUCUUUUUAUCCUCAUCUGUAAAAACCACAAUACAGUGGAAUGUCAGUUUUCGAACAUAAUCCAUUCCGGAAAUCUGUUCGACGUUCAAAAAUCAAGGAUCAAAGGUCUGGCUGCAAAGUCAAUGUGGAAAAAAGAAAAAUGUGCCACAGAAGCCAUUCACCUUCCAAGGCGCAUUCGAAAACGGAAGCAUUCACUUCUGGGUUUUCGGUGUUCAGCUUACAAAACAUUCAGCAGCUGAGACUUUCAAAAAUUGAGGUUUGACUGUACUGGAACUUCUGGACCAUACACACAGAGAGAGAUUUGUAAUGCCCAGAUUUAAAGAAUGAGAGCUAGCUUAAAGGAAUAAAAACUUCAUUCCACAA
Long non-coding RNA from Podarcis raffonei (Aeolian wall lizard), 981 nucleotides. RefSeq lists it as uncharacterized. NCBI's taxonomy places the organism in Eukaryota, Metazoa, Chordata, Lepidosauria, Squamata, Lacertidae. The record is from RefSeq and is a predicted model, not a curated record. The transcript is spliced from 2 exons.